RNAcentral lists this ribosomal RNA (459 nucleotides) under uncultured bacterium. RNAcentral describes it as "partial 16S ribosomal RNA". It matches the Rfam family "Bacterial small subunit ribosomal RNA", at positions 338 to 795 of the family's 1533-position model. The record is from RNAcentral.
CCUACGGGCGGCAGCAGUGAGGAAUAUUGGUCAAUGGGAGAGAUCCUGAACCAGCCAAGCCGCGUGAGGGAAGACGGCCCUAUGGGUUGUAAACCUCUUUUGUCGGAGAACAAAACCCGGGACGUGUCCCGGACUGCGUGUAUCCGAAGAAAAAGCAUCGGCUAACUCCGUGCCAGCAGCCGCGGUAAUACGGAGGAUGCGAGCGUUAUCCGGAUUUAUUGGGUUUAAAGGGUGCGUAGGCGGUCCGUUAAGUCAGCGGGAAAAUUGCGGGGCUCAACCCCGUCGAGCCGUUGAAACUGGCAGACUUGAGUUGGCGAGAAGUACGCGGAAUGCGGGGUGUAGCGGUGAAAUGCAUAGAUAUCGCGCAGAACUCCGAUUGCGAAGGCAGCGUACCGGCGCCAGACUGACGCUGAGGCACGAAAGCGUGGGGAUCGAACAGGAUUAGAUACCCCAGUAGUC